RNAcentral lists this ribosomal RNA (480 nucleotides) under uncultured bacterium. RNAcentral describes it as "partial 16S ribosomal RNA". It matches the Rfam family "Bacterial small subunit ribosomal RNA", at positions 28 to 523 of the family's 1533-position model. The record is from RNAcentral.
GACGAACGCUGGCGGCGUGCCUAACACAUGCAAGUCGAGCGAGUGAAUCUCCUUCGGGAGUGAAGCUAGCGGCGGACGGGUGAGUAACACGUGGGUAACCUGCCUCAUAGAGGGGAAUAGCCUUCCGAAAGGGAGAUUAAUACCGCAUAAGAUUGUAGCUUCGCAUGAAGUAGCAAUUAAAGGAGCAAUCCGCUACGAGAUGGGCCCGCGGCGCAUUAGCUAGUUGGUGAGGUAACGGCUCACCAAGGCGACGAUGCGUAGCCGACCUGAGAGGGUGAUCGGCCACAUUGGGACUGAGACACGGCCCAGACUCCUACGGGAGGCAGCAGUGGGGAAUAUUGCACAAUGGGGGAAACCCUGAUGCAGCAACGCCGCGUGAGUGAUGACGGCCUUCGGGUUGUAAAGCUCUGUCUUCAAGGACGAUAAUGACGGUACCUGAGGAGGAAGCCACGGCUAACUACGUGCCAGCAGCCGCAGUAA